This 78-nucleotide transfer RNA is filed under the name Prolixibacteraceae bacterium JC049. RNAcentral's name for it is "tRNA-Val". It matches the Rfam family "tRNA". From Rfam's summary of the family: Transfer RNA (tRNA) molecules are approximately 80 nucleotides in length. Lineage: Bacteria; Pseudomonadati; Bacteroidota; Bacteroidia; Marinilabiliales; Prolixibacteraceae. The record is from RNAcentral.
GGGAGUUUAGCUCAGCUGGUUCAGAGCACCUGCCUUACAAGCAGGGGGUCACUGGUUCGAAUCCAGUAAUUCCCACAA